CAGUCGAGCGACGGAUAAGGAGCUUGCUCCUUUGAAGUUAGCGGCGGACGGGUGAGUAACACGUGGGUAACCUACCUAUAAGACUGGAAUAACUUCGGGAAACCGGAGCUAAUGCCGGAUAACAUUUGGAACCGCAUGGUUCUAAAGUAAAAGAUGGUUUUGCUAUCACUUAUAGAUGGACCCGCGCCGUAUUAGCUAGUUGGUAAGGUAACGGCUUACCAAGGCAACGAUACGUAGCCGACCUGAGAGGGUGAUCGGCCACACUGGAACUGAGACACGGUCCAGACUCCUACGGGAGGCAGCAGUAGGGAAUCUUCCGCAAUGGACGAAAGUCUGACGGAGCAACGCCGCGUGAGUGAUGAAGGUUUUCGGAUCGUAAAACUCUGUUAUUAGGGAAGAACAAAUGUGUAAGUAACUGUGCACAUCUUGACGGUACCUAAUCAGAAAGCCACGGCUAACUACGUGCCAGCAGCCGCGGUAAUACGUAGGUGGCAAGCGUUAUCCGGAAUUAUUGGGCGUAAAGCGCGCGUAGGCGGUUUCUUAAGUCUGAUGUGAAAGCCCACGGCUCAACCGUGGAGGGUCAUUGGAAACUGGGAAACUUGAGUACAGAAGAGGAAAGUGGAAUUCCAUGUGUAGCGGUGAAAUGCGCAGAGAUAUGGAGGAACACCAGUGGCGAACGCGACUUUCUGGUCUGUAACUGACGCUGAUGUGCGAAAGCGUGGGGAUCAAACCACGAUUACAUACCCUUGUUCAGUCCACGCCGUACACGAUGA
RNAcentral lists this ribosomal RNA (773 nucleotides) under Staphylococcus equorum. RNAcentral describes it as "bacterial SSU rRNA". It matches the Rfam family "Bacterial small subunit ribosomal RNA", at positions 59 to 812 of the family's 1533-position model. The record is from RNAcentral. Lineage: Bacteria; Bacillati; Bacillota; Bacilli; Caryophanales; Staphylococcaceae.